RNAcentral lists this ribosomal RNA (459 nucleotides) under uncultured bacterium. RNAcentral's name for it is "partial 16S ribosomal RNA". It matches the Rfam family "Bacterial small subunit ribosomal RNA", at positions 338 to 795 of the family's 1533-position model. The record is from RNAcentral.
CCUACGGGUGGCAGCAGUGAGGAAUAUUGGUCAAUGGGCGCGAGCCUGAACCAGCCAAGUAGCGUGAAGGAUGACUGUCCUACGGGUUGUAAACUUCUUUUAUAGAGGAAUAAAGUGAGGUACGCGUACCUUUUUGUAUGUACUUUAUGAAAAAGCAUCGGCUAACUCCGUGCCAGCAGCCGCGGUAAUACGGAGGAUGCGAGCGUUAUCCGGAUUUAUUGGGUUUAAAGGGUGCGAAGGCGGCUGAUAAAGUCAGCGGUAAAAUUUCGGGGCUAAACCCCGACGUGCAGUUGAAACUGGUGUGCUUGAGUGGGCGAGAAGUAUGCGGAAUGCGUGGUGUAGCGGUGAAAUGCAUAGAUAUCACGCAGAACUCCGAUUGCGAAGGCAGCAUACCGGCGCCCAACUGACGCUGAGGCACGAAAGCGUGGGUAUCGAACAGGAUUAGAUACCCGUGUAGUC